Molecule: ribosomal RNA, 880 nt
Filed under: Cystodiscus cf. immersus Brazil 2
Lineage: Eukaryota; Metazoa; Cnidaria; Myxozoa; Bivalvulida; Myxidiidae
Description: bacterial SSU rRNA
Rfam family: Eukaryotic small subunit ribosomal RNA
Source: RNAcentral
GUAAGGUAGUGGCCUACCAAGGUGAUAACGGGUAACGGGGAAUCAGGGUUCGAUUCCGGAGAGGGAGCCUGAGAAACGGCUACCACAUCCAAGGAAGGCAGCAGGCGCGCAAAUUACCCAAUCCAGACACUGGGAGGUGGUGACGAGAAAUACCGGGUCGUGCCCAAAAGGUUUCGACACUGGAAUGGGUGGAAUUUAAGAAUUUCCACGAGUAGCAACUGGAGGGCAAGUCUGGUGCCAGCAGCCGCGGUAAUUCCAGCUCCAGUAGUGUAUCUUAAAGUUGCCGCGGUUAAAACGCUCGUAGUUGGACAAGAGAGCGAUAAUGUGCGGGCGGGGAGUAAGCCUACCCUGUACUGACGAGCAAUCGAAUUGGCAUUAACCUGUCAGUUUGGUUGACUACGUUGUGCAGGUGUACUACUUGUCGACCAUGCUGCAUAGUCGCUUAUUUGAUCGUGAGAAUGUCAUAUGGCCUUAAAUGUGCUGUGUGACGUGUCUUACGUAGUGUGCCUUGAAUAAAUCAGAGUGCUCAAAGCAAGCUUACGCUUGAAUGUUAAUAGCAUGGAACGAAUGUUUAGUGAAAGCGUAAGCAGUGGGUUUACUUGUAUUCCUGCUGUUUACGCAGCACCAACUCCGAAUCGGAACAUUGGUAGCCGACUUCGGGUGAUGAUUAAGAGGGACAUUUGGGGGCAUUAGUAUUUGGACGCGAGAGGUGAAAUUCUUGGACCGUCCAAGGACUAACAAGUGCGAAAGCAUUUGCCAAGUAUGUUCCCUUUAAUCAAGAACGAAAGUGAGAGGUUCGAAGACGAUCAGAUACCGUCCUAGUUCUCACCGUAAACGAUGCCAACCCGGGAUCAGCUCGGAUGAUAUUAUAUGGAUCCAG